AAAAAAAAAAAAAAAGUGAAAUGGGACUAUGGGGGUGAUGUUAUUCAGCUGACAUACAAAUUAUCUGAUAUACAUUUUAAUAUUUUAUGCAGCAUCCAUUUGAUUGCAUUUGUAAAAUAAUUAAUUAUUUUUAUAUUUAUGAUAAUAAAUAAUUAAUGACAUUUUCAAAUUAACUGUUUGUUUAUUUCUAUAUAGCAUGUAUUGAUUAUAUUUAUAAAAUAAUUAAUAAUAAAAUCAAUUAUUUUCAUACAUAUUAUAUCAAAUGAUUGUUGACAUAUGAAUUCCAAUGAAUAUAUAUAUAAUGUCACAAUCUAUAUAUAUAUAUAUAUAUAUAUCUAUAUCUAUAUAUAUAUAGAUAUAUAUAUAUAAAACUGGGACUUGAGGAGGUGAUGUGGCAUCACCAUUUUUCAUCUUUGUAUAUUCUCUAUUAUCUAAUAAAUAGAGAAAUUUUCUUUUAGAUUUGGUUUUUCAUCUUCUCAUAAUUAAUUUGAUUGUUAUUACACAAUAAUAAUUAUGUAAAGGUUUUAAUGAGGUAUAUUCUUUGUAAUAAACAUCCAAGGGGGAGUGUUAUGAAUUUAUUAAAAUAAAUGUAAAUAUUCAUAACAUAUAUCUCUUAGUCUCCCCACUAUCUCACAUUAGCAACCUUUAGCUUCCCUAUAACUCCUACUAUCUCACAAGAAAUUAUGAUCAAUAAUUUUUCAUUAAUUUCAUGGCGUGAUUAUGUAACUAUAAAAGGAGAGCUCAUCUUUUUAUUUUGUACACACACAAUUGGAAUGAAUAAAAUCACUCUAUAAUAUAUUCUCUCAAUUUAUUCUUUAUAUAUAUAUAUAUAUAUAUAUAUAUAUAUAUAUAUAAAGGUGGGACUACAAGAGGUGAUGUGGCAUCACUAUUUCUCAUCUUUGUAUAUUUUCUAUUAUCUAAUAAAUAGAGAAAUUUUCUUUUAGAUUUGACGUUUCAUCUUCUUAUAAUUAAUUUUAUUGUUAUUACACAAUAACAAUUAUGUAAAGGUUUUAAUGAGGCAUAUUCUUUGUAAUGAACAUCCAAGGGGGAGUGUUAUACAUUUAUUAAAAUAAAUGUGGAUGUUCAUAACAUAUAUCUCUUAAUCUCCACACUAUCUCCCAUUAGCAACCUUUAGCUUCCGUAUAACUCCCACUAUCUCACAAGGAAUUAUGAUCCAUAAUUUUUCAUUAACGAUUAUGUAACUAUAAAAGGAGAGCUCAUCUUUUUGUUUUGUACACACACAAUUGGAAUGAAUAAAAUCACUCUAUAAUAUAUUCUCUCAUUUUAUUCUUUAUCUUGCAUUGUUUCUUUAUUUGUAUUGCUGGCUAAUAUCUUUUUUUAUUUUUUAUAAGACUACCUCAUCCUAAAAAAAAAUCAAUUCAUAUUUUUUUAUCAGUUUCAUCAAGUGUAAAAUAAGAAAAAAUGAUAAUACUAAAUUCUUUUUUCAAAGCCGCGUGAAGCGCGAUUUUAUUUUCUAGUAUAUAUAUAAAGCUGGGACUUGAGGAGGUGAUGUGGCAUCACCAUUUCUCAUUUUUGUAUAUUCUCUAUUAUCUAAUAAAUAGAGAAAUUUUCUUUUAGAUUUGGCUUUUCAUCUUAUCAUAAUUAAUUUGAUUGUUAUUACACAAUAACAAUUAUGUAAAGGUUUUAAUGAGGUACAUUCUUUGUAAUGAACAUCAAAGGGGGAGUGUUAUGAAUUUACUAAAAUAAAUGUAGAUGUUCAUAAUAUAUAUCUCUUAGUCUCCCCACUAUCUCCGAUUAGCAACCUUUAGCUUCCCUAUAACUCCCACUAUCUCAUAAAGAAUUAUGAUCUAUAAUUUUUCAUUAAUUUCAUGGAGCGAUUAUGUAACUAUAAAAGGAGAGCUCAUCUUUUUGUUUUGUACACACACAAUUGGAAUGAAUAAAACCACUCUAUAAUAUAUUCUCUCAUUUUAAUUUUUAUCUUGCGUUGCUUAUUUAUUUGUAUUGCUGGCUAAUAUGUUUUUUUGUUUUUUAUAAGGCUGCCUCAUCUUAAAAAAAAAUCAAUUCAUAUUUUUUAUCAGUUUCAUCAAGUGUAAAGUAAGAAAAAAGAAUAAUGCUAAAUUUUUUUUUCAAAGCUGCGUGAAGCGCAGUUCUAUUUUUUAGUUUAUGUAUAAAAGGAGGGACUCUCAAUCCGACCCUUUUGUAUAUAAUAAAUAAUUUCAAAGAUAGAAAAAUGUAUACUUCAGUAUAGUGUAUUUUGACAUGUAUUAUAUUGAAUUAUUUUUUUUUUCACUUUAUCUCUUAAUUUAAUAAAGUAAAAGAUUCUCUUAUUAUAAAAUUAAUUACUAUAUAUACUAUAAAACCUCUCUACAGUGAUAUUCUAUAUAGAAAUAAUUUCUAUGUAGUCAUGAAAAAUUAUGCUUUCAAUUUGUGCUACUUAUAAAUAAAAAUAAACUCACUAUUUUAAAAACUUUUUUGGAUCCCGUAUUAACAAAAUUAUCUCUCUGCAAUAAUAAUUAUCUAUAUAUUAAAAAAGUGUAUGCUGUUUUGCACUAAUGAUAUAAUAUAGAAUGAAAUAUCUUUUAAAGUUGUUUGAGACAAUAAUUUAUUCUUUAAAAUGAUUAAUAAAUUAUUAUUUGAAAGAAUACAAACAUUUGGACUUGCACUUUGCAUUUUGAAUAUUUCCAACAUUGCAUAGAUACAUGUAUUUUUAUUUUUCGUCACUAUCACUUUUAUAAAUUAGAUUUGACAGCCUUCAUUUAUUAAUUAUUAAUGUAAUUUAUAUUUUACCCUCGUAUCACUUGCACCAAUAAUAAUUAAGUCAAAACAAUAAUAUUUGUAACUACACUUCUAUUAAUUUAUAAUUUAUUUAUAGUAAUAAAGUUAAUUUGGCCCCAAUAUUAUGAUUAUAGAGAAGUUUUAUUAGAUAUAUUAAUUAAUACAUUUGUGGUAUAUGUACAUUUUUAUUUAAAUUUCUUAUAAAUUUAUUUGUUUGUUUUACAUACUUUCAAUAUAUAUGAGUUAAUUUUUGGGUUGAUGUACUCGAAGUAAGUUUUCAUCAUCAUCAUCAUCAUCAUCAUCAUCAUCAUCAUCAUCAUCAUCAUCAUCAUCAUCAUCAUCAUCAUCAUCAUCAUCAUCAUCAUCAUCCUCUUUUAAGAAAGAUACAAAAAGAGUAGACUUGUAUUAUUGUGAUGAUGUUGUUGACGAUGAAUUAAUGAUUAUUGUUUUAAUAUUAUUGAAAAGGCAGAAUUAUGUGAUUCACGUGCGAGAAGCAGUAAUGUGAAAUUUGAAUGGAAGAAACUUAAAGCCGGCACACUUGAGGACCCCUGAAAGGCCUUAGUUCACAGAGCACUCACGCUCACCGAUCCAACUCAAAUUGGCCUAGAAGAGUGUGUUCUGCCACUUAUUAGAACGAGACAGAUGCAACGAUGAAAAUCUCGUCACGACAAUAAUAAAUAAAUUAAAUUUGAGUCACUCAAAUAAAAAACAAAAAACUCCAAGCUUAGAAGAUUAGAAUUCAUAAAUAAAAUUAUUCUCUAUACUAACAAAGUCCUCCCCUUUUAGCGGCUAUCUCCGAUCAACAAUUUUAAGAAAAUAAUAUCGAUGAUGGAGUUACAAUUUUAAGAUGAGUUGUUAAGCUCGUUUCCCUAUUUAUAAAAAGGGAAAAAGUCAUUUUUACUCCUGAAAUUCGAUACAAUAGUACAUUUUAUUCUUAUUUUUUUUAAUCCAUUUUAUCCUUAUUUUUUAAAUAAUAGUACAAAAUACCUAUCUAUAAAUUUAUAGUUAAGUUUACUCUAUAAUUAAUUGAGGGUAAAAUAAGAUUUUUAGUUAAAUAAUUGCAAACCAUUUUAAAACAAAAGUUUCAAGAACAAUUAAAUAACAUCUGAAUUUUUAUAUAAAUUUAUAAUUUAAAGGUAACUUAACAAAAUAAAAUAAUACUAAAGAAUAUGCAACGCGUGCGCACUCGCACACGUAUUGUUCAUCAAAUUUUUUUAAUGAAGUCAAUUAAAUUUUUAUAUAUAACAACAACAACAACAACAAUAAUAAUAAUAAUGAUAAUUUUUCAAUUGAGAAUCAUUGUCCUUAGUGUGUAUUUUCUUAAGUGAAUGAAGGAAUUUGUGUUUACUUACCAUAGAAUAAUAGUACUGAUUAUUUAUUUAUCUAUCUUGACUAUAUUAAAUUUAAGGAUAAACUAAAGGAUGAAAAAAAAAAGUGCCUGUGAAAUGUUUUUUCUUUUAUUUUGUCCAAAAAAUAUGUAUCUUACAUAUUAUUUAUAGCUGACUUGUCCUCUGGAGGCAAGUUAAAAUCGUCCACGUGAGGGGCUUCACGAUAAUAAUCAUCCAUGAACUUCAAAUCCUACUCAGGAUAGUGGUCCUUCAUCACUUUCUUGCAAUCAUCAACCCUAGCAAAGAAUUCCACCUCCUUCACUUGCUUAAAUUCAGCCAAUUGGAGAUAAGCUUUGAUAUGGCUCUAAUAACUGUUCUGACGCUGUUGCCUCAGGCGAGAUAGCUCUUCAUCUUUGUUCUUGAUCACAUCGUUGUUGAUGCUAUACUCCAAUUUGAGAGAUUCAUGAAUGGAUUUGAGGGCUGCAAGCUCAGUCCUUAGCUGGAUUACUUCACUGCAACCUUAUUUUUCUCACUUCUGGCUUUAGAACAUUCACCUUUUGAAUUUCGGUAUAGAUUGUAUGCUUGGAUCAUGUUCAUAGUGACCUAUGAAUGUUCAAUAAAGAAAUUUUAUCGAUGUCAGGCAAUAAAGAGAGCAACAACAAACCCAAGAGGGAAUCAUAAAGCCAACCUUGUGAGCAUUACCUAUGAAGGCAGAGAAUAGGACCUCUGGGUCAGUCUGCUUUGAACGAAGACAUGCUUGUAAGAAAAUGUCCUCUUCAAAGACGAAAGGUGGCUAGGUCAUGUUCGAGCUCGCUAUGCUAAAAAGUCUAGUUAGCCAAAUCAUCAAACAUGAGAGCUAAAGUGUGCUCAGGUGAUCUCAAAUUGGUUGGCAGUUGGGUUUUUUUCCCGGCUUGCAAGGUGCCAUGAGGGACAGAUUGAUUUGAGGGGGCUUCGAGGACUGAGAUUGAGUCGAAGAAGGAGUAGCGCCGUGCUUUCGAGAGGUGGACUCCCCGGGAGGUAAGUUUGUUGGCCUUAUUCUCUUUCUACUACCAAUUUGAGACAUGAUAACUGUGCGUCCUCAACACCAAAUAAAUGUAAAGAAGUAAAAAGGAGAGAAACUAAAACUGGUCACAGUGCAAAUAGUACGAUACAUACCAACAGGAAUGAGACCAAAUUCUUGGUAUAAAGUCUUGCUGAAUAGAGAAAUCACAUCAAAUUGCAAAAAGCUAACUUGACCACAUUGAAUGUUGCCAAGCAAUUCCGCAGAUAAAAUAGGUGAAGAAUGCCAAAUCGCAACCACAAAAUUAAAAUUAUAUGAUAAAAGUAAUGAACCACAAACCACGAAGACAAAAAUCAACCUAGAGUUUGAAAGAAAGUGGAAAAAGAAUCGCUAGUGUUGGGGUCACUAGAACACCAGCUUUCAGAAGCAAGAAACUAAACUAAGAAUCUUUCCAACCCUUAGUUGACCAAGGAAAUCAGGGGUGAUAAUUGGAUCAAUGCGAGCCCAGUCGGCCAAGUAGUACCAAACACUUCCUUUGGCAACUGAUUUGAUCUGAUACAAUCUUUUAAACUCACCAAAAGAGAAGUUAGAUUGGUUUCCCGAAAGUUUCCGGAUUAAAUAAUGACCAAGAAGGGCCAACUACAGGGUUAAGUUGAGCGGGGGCAACGUUGAAGGAUCACAAAAACAAACAAAUAAAAGGGUGUAAGGGUACCUUAUCCUAACUUUGAACAUAGAAGUGUAAAGGGCUACAGAGCCCUCUGGAGGUGUUGCCAUAUUUUCGUUAGGGUUUAGAAUCGUAAGCUUUACGGAGUUUGGAAUUUGAAAAUCCUUUUUCAAUUUGUUGAUCAUGCGAAGAGUGGCUUUAGAUUCCCACCGAUUGGCUGAAAACCCCUCUAUUAAGACGUCUUGGUCCUUAUCAUCAGCAACAUGAAUUGUGGUCGUAGAAGGAGGAGAAACACAGGAGGAACGACGCGUGAGACUCUUGGUGACUCCUCUACAUGACCCUUUACUUUUGCUUGAUUUGCUAUGCUCAACUCUGAAUGGAUCCAUGAAAGCCACAAAAUGAAGAAAAGAAAAAGAAAAAGAGAGAAAGGUGAUAAGUAUACCUGGGUUAGGUAAAAGAAUGAAGACCCAAACAUCGUGAGAAGGAAAGAAAUGAGAGCAGAGAUUGGGAACGAUAUGUAUCUCAAGGGUAGUGUUUAAUUUCAAAUUUUAAAAUCCACAUAAGAGCCCAUUAACUUCCUAGUUCUCAAUAAGAGAUUUUUUAAUUUUGAAAACUCUUAUCAUGAACUGGGGUUUAUGUUGAUCUAAAAUUUAUUUAUUCUUACCACUUCCAAGGGGUUCAGGGUCUCUAGGAAGAAAAAUUAGAUCUCUUGAAGGCAGGAAUGUAGAUUAUUAGGUGGGCAUUAAGGAUCCGUCGAAGUGGAAAAUACGGAACUCUCAACUGAGACCUUGAAUUGGUCAAAAGCACUGACUCAGUAGGACUAAAAUAUUAUGACCAUGUUUAUCACUUAAGAAAUAAUUGCAAGAACACGAAGAAAGUGGGUAAGGAAGUUGGUUACAAGACUAAUACACACCCAAAAAGUAGGAGCACAAUCCACUCCUAAAAUCAUGCCCUAUUUUUUUUUUCUAAAUAAAGGUAAUUUUUAAGGGAAAAAUGCCGAAAGAAAGGUAUGAAAGACUGAAUGAACUAUUGUAUUUUUCAGCUACCAAAUAGCAUACUGACUUAAGCAUUAGAUUGGGCUCACUGGAAAUCACCAUCUGCAGUCCCAUUUCACCGUUUUUCUUUGUUUGUGACUCUGUGUGCAGGUUACCUCUAUUUGUUGUACUUGAUUUGUUUCAAGCAGGAAAAAAAUCAGACGUAAACAAUUAUUAUCUUAAUUUUAUGUUUUUAUUUAUGUAGGUAAUAUCAAAAUAAAAAGAGCUAAAACAUAAAUUAAAUUCGAACAUUUGCGAAGAAAUUUGUUUAAAAGAAUCCAAAAGAGAAAGAAUAUAGAAAUUUAAUUGAAACAAGUUAAAGAAGAUGCAAUUAAAUUAACCAUCAUGCUUGCAUUUAUGUGGAGCACUAGAAGGCAAUCAAAUUAGAUUAUAUCAUAAAGAUGGCACAUGGAAACUUAAAGAAUUUGGUAUAAGCUUUAUAGCUUAAACAGGAAGUUGGUAGAUUCGUAUUAUACAGGUAUGAGGCUAGCAAAUCCUUGGUUAAGGAGUAUUUCUAUUUAAUAAGGGUUUAUCGGCCUUUAUUACAAUAAAAAAAGAGGAGUAUUGGGGGCAUAAUGAAAGAGAGACUUAAAAAGAGCUGAAGUAAAUGAAGCUGAGAGAAGAGAAGCAGAACACACUCAAUUAGAAGCUAAAUCCAAGAGCUGCAGGAGCAAUUUAGAAAAAAAGAGAUGUUGAGAUUACUUUUUUGAGUUUUUCUUUUCGUUUUCCAAUUGUCUUGCUAGAAUGUUCUCUAGUAUAUUUAUGAGUUCUCUUAAUUUUCUCAAGAACUAAUCUAUUUUGUUAGGGUCACGAUGUAGCCUAAUAUAAAUUUGUGUUAUUUUUAAUUUAUUAUUUCAUGAUUGAGUGUUUAUUACUGUGCUUAAUACUUUUAUAAAUUAAACGGGAGACAAAGAUGUACUAACUUAAUUUGUGCAGUUAAUUUAAGAAUACCUUAGAAUUUAAUAUGUUUUCAUAUAUUGUAAUACAUACAGAGAUAUAGUGUAUUAGAAAAUCGGAAUAUAUUUGAUAUUGCUUGAGAAAGGAUUGUUGAGUACUAGAGAAUUCAUAUUUAUAAAAGGUAAAAGUAUUUUUUUCGCUCCAAGUCUCACUAAUAUUUUUACUUUUAUGUAUUCAAGUCUGAUGAGAACCCCUCUAGAUCUAACUAGAAAAACCCACAACUAGAUUGAUAAGAACCCAAUAAAGCCAAUAUGAUCAGAAUUCGGAUAAAAGAUCCAAACCUUUGAGAAGCUAAAUCUCAAGAACUCAGAUUGCUAAAUAAGAUGCCAUAGAGGUUAGCUAUUUCUUUGAUAAGUCAGAAGUUCUUUUAAGAACAAGUUGAGAAAAUCUUCUCUAGUGAUAUCAAACUCAAGAUUGUCAAAAAGUCUAUUCAAAGAACAUAAAAGAAUGUUUAUAUAAGGUGGCUAACCCUAAUUUAACUUAAAAACACGAAAAGAACCCUAAAAUAAAAAUCCGAAGUGGCAUGGGCCUUGGCCUGCAGAGCCAUUGAUUUUAAACAGACCGUAACUUAUGCAUAUGAUGUCGGAUUUGGGCCCCAAAUAUUUCCUUUCGAAGCUCUCGACGUAAGUAAUGCAGCUAUAACUUUAGGAUUGUUUUUCUAGCCAUUCUUCUACUUUAAAAAUCAUCUUCACCGAUGCGCACCACCUCAUUAGCUUGAAUCAAGUAUAUCAAGGCUGGUUCCUCCUCUUUCAAGUCCAUCUUGAACAUUGGUCUCUUGCAAAUUGAAUUUUUAUUGGAUUCGUCCAAAGUAGCUUGAACAAAUCUUUGCAUUGCUUCCUUGAUCGUUUUAGCUCAUGCUCUCGUAAUUGGCCCUUCUAGAAUAAGUAACGGAUGUUUAAUGCUUUGAGCACCCUGGAUCACAUCAAAGUCCUUUAAACUUUGAUUGUGUAUAUCUAUAUAUUUAUAUAAAAUUAGGACUACAAGAGGUGAUGUGGCAUCACCAUUUCUCAUCUUUAUAUAUUCUCUAUUAUCUAAUAAAUAGAGAAAUUUUCUUUCAGAUUUGGUUUUUCAACUUCUUAUAAAUAAUUUGACUGUUAUUAUACAAUCAAUAUAUAACACUAGGGGUGGGUAAAAUCGGGUUCGGGUCAAUCCGAUCGGGUGCUCGGGUUGGGUAAAAAUUAAUCGGAAUGCAAUUUGAACUUAUAACUCGAUCCGAUCCGACCCGAUUUAGAUCAGGUCAAAAAUCAGAUUAAAUUCGGAUGAGUUCGAGUUUAGAUAAUAGACCAGAAUUUCCUCGGUUUCUACCAUUUGUGAGCGCGGGUUCAAAGCCUAACACGCACGCAUCAAACUUUCUCCUGAAUUAAAUUUGAAAAAGAAAAAGAAAAAGAAAAUUAUAUUACAGAAAAGCCCCCAAUUUAGAAGGCCAUCAAAAAUCAAAAUCGACUAGGGCGGCUCUUCUGGAAUCUAAUUAAAGAGUCUCUGCUCCAGUACACUAACGAUGAAACCCUAGAAAAAAAAAACAAAAAAACACCAAAAACAAAAUCAAAAGCCAACAGAAUAAGGAGAAGAAACCCCCUUGGAGUUCGCAUUCACUGUCACAAAAGUUGCGGUGUCUCAGGUAUGCCGUUCUGUUGGGUUCAAGGCGGCGGAAAGCUCAGCCCUUGAAGCCCUCGGGUGGCCGCAGACACGCAACAAAUUGGGAUCAAGCGUGAAGAGGGGUCUUGCUUCUGGUCUAGAAUGAGAAGUUGCUGGUGCAAUAGAGAUGAGAAGUUGAGUAAUAGAGAUGAGAAGUUGAGCGAGGGAGAUGGUUGUGGGUUCGUGGCUGUGGCUGUCGGCGGCUUGAUGUGAGGGCUACUAGGUGAAGCUGUGUUGGGUCUUGGCCUCUUGGGUGUGUAUUGUGUUGUGUAUGUGUUUUGUGUAAUGCGUAUGUAAUAUGUGUUCUUUGUCUGUGAUUUGUGUUUUGUGAUGUGUAUGUGUUCUGUGAAUCUGUGUUCUGUGAUUUGUGUCAUUGUGUGUGUGGCGUGCGUGUGUUAGCUGUUAGUUUUUUUUUUUUAAAGCAACCCGAUCGGGUUUCGGAUCAGGUACCACCCGAUCCGAUCAUAAUCCGAUUGGGUUUAAAAGAUUUUAUCUGAUCGGGUACUAUUAAUAAUCUUGAUUAACACUAAAAAGUAUACGUGUAAUAAGAAUAAAAUUAUUAGUUUUUUACUUAAAGUGUUGAUUAAUACGCGCGUAACUUAUAAAUUAUAUGAAUGCUCCUUAAAUAAAUUUUUGUGUUAAAUUAAUUCGUAAUAUGUUAAUUUUUAUCUUAUAAAUAUUUUUCAAGAAUAAAUUAGAAUUGAAAGCGGUAACAAAGAAGACUACUGGAGCAAUGUGGAAGCAUAAUUGAAGAGAUGUAAAUAAAAAAUAAAAAAAAUAAAAAAUGAAAAUGAAUAAAAAUAAAAAAAUGAAAAAAGAACAAAAACCAAGCAAUUUGGUUUCUCGUGAUGGUUAAGUCAUGACCACUUGACCAUUACACAUUUCAAUGUACAUAUAUAUAUAUAAUAAUAAUAAAAUAAAUAAAGAUAAUGCAUUCCUUGCCUAUAAAAGGGCAAGGAAAUGCAGGGAGCAGAGGUGGAG
RNAcentral lists this long non-coding RNA (10335 nucleotides) under Citrus maxima (pomelo). RNAcentral describes it as "long non-coding RNA (CMAX_LNC004079)". The record is from RNAcentral. Lineage: Eukaryota; Viridiplantae; Streptophyta; Magnoliopsida; Sapindales; Rutaceae.